Molecule: long non-coding RNA, 234 nt
Filed under: Nicotiana benthamiana
Lineage: Eukaryota; Viridiplantae; Streptophyta; Magnoliopsida; Solanales; Solanaceae
Description: long non-coding RNA (NBEN_LNC025988)
Source: RNAcentral
AUCAUGGCUCCAAAAGAUGAUGUUGAUUCUUUUGUGGACAUUAUCAUCUUUCAAAAUAAUUUUUCAGCACGAUUAGGGUUGAAUCUUAAAACACGGAGUUCACCGUUGCAUCCGGAACGGUCGAAAAUGGUGGAAUUGACACUUUGUGGCUGAAAUUCCACUAUAUGGGCAAAACUGUAAUUUUUGAAAGUUGAGGGACUAAUCUGCAAUUUCAGAGAGUUGACUGGUCGUCUU